UGAACAUUGUGAUGCCAGAGACACUGUAGCAGAAGAGCAAUUAAACAAUACUGAAGAACAAAAUAUCAAAUCCACUAGAGUUUCUGAAAACGUACCACUAGAGACAAGACGGAGCAUUUGCAGGGUUGCAAAUGCUGUCCGUGUAUUGUCAACUUUGGGCUUCAGUUUAACUUUAGAAGUGAUAUUGGAGGCCUUUAACUUGAGUAGCACUUUGAAUCUUGGUAUAGAUGAGAUGCUUGGGUCAGAGUUCCAUGUUUUGGUAGCAGAGAAAGAAGCUGAACGACGCAGUUCAUUGACCAAAAAGAAGAGAUGACGUUGAUCUCUUUUUGUGAUCGAUGAGUUCCUGGAGUUAUGUCAUUCUCGCAUGCUAAAAAAUGUAAUGUAUUUGAUGACAGCUGGGAAGGACUGUUUAGUGCAAUUAACAGGAAUUAUUUGCUCAGACUCGUGCAAUUUUCUGUGACUCAAUUAUAUGUUUGUUUAGUAGUCUAGCGCAUAUUGGUUUCCAAACCAACUUGAAAUAUC
Molecule: unclassified non-coding RNA, 522 nt
Filed under: Hevea brasiliensis (rubber tree)
Lineage: Eukaryota; Viridiplantae; Streptophyta; Magnoliopsida; Malpighiales; Euphorbiaceae
Source: RNAcentral